RNAcentral lists this ribosomal RNA (532 nucleotides) under Thanatephorus sp. CBS 973.96. Its description in RNAcentral is "eukaryotic LSU rRNA". The stretch from base 222 to 375 matches the Rfam family "5.8S ribosomal RNA". Lineage: Eukaryota; Fungi; Basidiomycota; Agaricomycetes; Cantharellales; Ceratobasidiaceae. The record is from RNAcentral.
AAUGGGAAUUUGGUUGUAGCUUGGCUCAUAUUAUCUGGGCAUGUGCACACCUUUCUCUUUCAUCCACACACACCUGUGCACCUGUGAGGCAGAUGGGGGAGGAAAUUACUGAUUGUUCUUGAAGAAUAAUGGGUGUUGGGAAAACCCCCCUCUGUCUACUCAAUCUAUAUAAACCCAAUAUUUUUAAAAAUGAAUGUAAUGGAUGUAACACAUCUAAUACUAAGUUUCAACAACGGAUCUCUUGGCUCUCGCAUCGAUGAAGAACGCAGCGAAAUGCGAUAAGUAAUGUGAAUUGCAGAAUUCAGUGAAUCAUCGAAUCUUUGAACGCACCUUGCGCUCCUUGGUAUUCCUUGGAGCAUGCCUGUUUGAGUAUCAUGAAAUCUUCAAAGUAAAUCUUUUGUUAACUCAAUUGGUUCUGCUUUGGUAUUGGAGGUUAUUGCAGCUUCACACCUGCUCCUCUUUGUACAUUAGCUGGAUCUCAGUGUUAUGCUUGGUUCCACUCGGCGUGAUAAAGUUAUACUAUCGCCUGAGA